Zalophus californianus (California sea lion) is the source of this 109-nucleotide small nuclear RNA. The record is from Ensembl. Lineage: Eukaryota; Metazoa; Chordata; Mammalia; Carnivora; Otariidae.
GGGCGCUCACUUUGGCCACACCUAUAUUAAAAUCAGAAUGAUACAGGGAAAAUUAGCCCGGCACCUGCCCAAGGAUGAUAUGCAGAUUCGUGACAUGUUCUAUGUUUUU